RNAcentral lists this ribosomal RNA (485 nucleotides) under uncultured Microbacteriaceae bacterium. RNAcentral describes it as "bacterial SSU rRNA". It matches the Rfam family "Bacterial small subunit ribosomal RNA", at positions 1 to 507 of the family's 1533-position model. The record is from RNAcentral. Lineage: Bacteria; Bacillati; Actinomycetota; Actinomycetes; Micrococcales; Microbacteriaceae.
GUAGUUGACUCCGUGCUCGAGGACACGCUGGCGGCGUGCUUAACACAUGCAAGUCGAACGAUGAACUGGAGCUUGCUCCAGGAAUUAGUGGCGAACGGGUGAGUAACACGUGAGUAACCUGCCCUUGACUCUGGGAUAAGCGCUAGAAAUGGCGUCUAAUACCGGAUACGAGCUUCAGCCGCAUGGCUAGGAGUUGGAAAGAAUUUUGGUCAAGGAUGGACUCGCGGCCUAUCAGCUAGUUGGUGAGGUAAUGGCUCACCAAGGCGACGACGGGUAGCCGGCCUGAGAGGGUGACCGGCCACACUGGGACUGAGACACGGCCCAGACUCCUACGGGAGGCAGCAGUGGGGAAUAUUGCACAAUGGGCGAAAGCCUGAUGCAGCAACGCCGCGUGAAGGAUGACGGCCUUCGGGUUGUAAACCUCUUUUAGUAGGGAAGAAGCGAAAGUGACGGUACCUGCAGAAAAAGCACCGGCUAACUACGUG